Molecule: ribosomal RNA, 628 nt
Filed under: Corallianassa borradailei
Lineage: Eukaryota; Metazoa; Arthropoda; Malacostraca; Decapoda; Callianassidae
Description: SSU rRNA
Rfam family: Eukaryotic small subunit ribosomal RNA
Source: RNAcentral
AGUCAUAUGCUUGUCUCAAAGAUUAAGCCAUGCAUGUGUAAGUACAGACCGAUUUAAGGCGAAACCGCGAAUGGCUCAUUAAAUCAGCUGUGGUUCAUUGGAUCUUAAACCCACUUACUUGGAUAACUGUGGUAAUUCUAGAGCUAAUACAUGCGUCCCGUCUCUGACCGCGAGGGAAGAGCGCUCUUAUUAGUCCAAAACUGGUCGGGCCUCGGUCCGUACUCCAAAGGUGGUGAAUCUGAAUAAUUUUGACCUGAGCGCAGGGUCUCUGCACCGGCGCCGUAUCUUUCAAGUGUCUGCCUUAUCAGCUCUCGACUGUAGGUUAUGUGCCUACAUUGGCUAUAACGGGUAACGGGGAAUCAGGGUUCGAUUCCGGAGAGGGAGCCUGAGAAACGGCUACCACAUCUAAGGAAGGCAGCAGGCACGCAAAUUACCCACUCCCGGCACGGGGAGGUAGUGACGAAAAAUAACGGUGCGAGACUCAUCCGAGGCCUCGCAAUCGGAAUGAGUACACUUUAAAUCCUUUAACGAGGAUCAAUUGGAGGGCAAGUCUGGUGCCAGCAGCCGCGGUAAUUCCAGCUCCAAUAGCGUAUAUUAAAGUUGUUGCAGUUAAAAAGCUCGUAGUUGG